UACGUAGGGGGCAAGCGUUGUCCGGAUUUAUUGGGCGUAAAGAGCGUGUAGGCGGCCAGAUAGGUCUGCUGUGAAAACUCGAGGCUCAACCUCGAGCUGUCGGCGGAAACCAUUUGGCUAGAGUCCGGAAGAGGAGAGUGGAAUUCCUGGUGUAGCGGUGAAAUGCGCAGAUAUCAGGAGGAACACCGGUGGCGAAGGCGGCAUCCUGGACCGGCAUUGACGCUGAGGCGCGAAAGCCAGGGGAGCAAACGGG
This 253-nucleotide ribosomal RNA is filed under the name uncultured bacterium. RNAcentral describes it as "partial 16S ribosomal RNA". It matches the Rfam family "Bacterial small subunit ribosomal RNA", at positions 524 to 776 of the family's 1533-position model. The record is from RNAcentral.